This is a long non-coding RNA of Triticum aestivum (bread wheat), 353 nucleotides long. RefSeq lists it as uncharacterized. Lineage: Eukaryota; Viridiplantae; Streptophyta; Magnoliopsida; Poales; Poaceae. The transcript has 2 exons. The record is from RefSeq and is a predicted model, not a curated record.
UUGUAGCGUACGAAAAUUAACUUGCAAUCAGCUAGUCUAGAAGAAUUAGAGCGAGAGGCGGGGUCCUUAAGGGGACGGAUUGAUGAGGUUGUGGAGUCUAUUAGCAAGGAGAAGGAGAGGUCCGAUCUCAUCAUGAAGGACAUCUGGGGUACCAUUAAGCUGAUGGCAUGUUCAGCUGUUGUGGUGAAAAUCAUUGCAUUUACCAUUUCUCCAGUUGAGGAACCCAAGGAGAUUGCAUGAUCAUCAGUUCCCUCCCAGUCAUAUGAACGUUUUGUUUAAGUCAUCGUGUUAUGUACUGCAAUUUGUGAUUGCUAUACCGGCAUAACUUAAGAUGUGGUAACUGUUGUGGCCGA